Molecule: ribosomal RNA, 497 nt
Filed under: uncultured bacterium
Lineage: Bacteria
Description: partial 16S ribosomal RNA
Rfam family: Bacterial small subunit ribosomal RNA
Source: RNAcentral
GAUGAACGCUGGCGGCGUGCCUAAUACAUGCAAGUCGAGCGAACAGACGAGGAGCUUGCUCCUCUGACGUUAGCGGCGGACGGUUGAGUAACACUUGGCUAACCUACCUAUAAGACUGGGAUAACUUCGGGAAACCGAAGCUAAUACCGGAUAAUAUAUUGAACCGCAUGGUUCAAUAGUGAAAGACGGUUUUGCUGUCACUUAUAGAUUGAUCCGCGCCGCAUUAGCUAGUUGGUAAGGUAACGGCUUACCAAGGCGACGAUGCGUAGCCGACCUGAGAGGGUGAUCGGCCACACUGGAACUGAGACACGGUCCAGACUCCUACGGGAGGCAGCAGUAGGGAAUCUUCCGCAAUGGGCGAAAGCUUGACGGAGCAACGCCGCGUGAGUGAUGAAGGUCUUCGGAUCGUAAAACUCUGUUAUUAGGGAAGAACAAAUGUGUAAGUAACUAUGCACGUCUUGACGGUACCUAAUCAGAAAGCCACGGCUAACUACGUG